UACGUAGGGUGCAAGCGUUGUCCGGAAUUAUUGGGCGUAAAGAGCUCGUAGGCGGUUUGUUGCGUCGGCUGUGAAAUCCCUCGGCUCAACCGAGGAACUGCAUCCGAUACUGGCGGGCUUGAAUCCGGGAGAGGGAUGUGGAAUUCCAGGUGUAGCGGUGAAAUGCGUAGAUAUCUGGAGGAACACCGGUGGCGAAGGCGGCAUCCUGGACCGGUAUUGACGCUGAGGCGCGAAAGCUAGGGGAGCAAACGGGG
RNAcentral lists this ribosomal RNA (254 nucleotides) under uncultured bacterium. Its description in RNAcentral is "partial 16S ribosomal RNA". It matches the Rfam family "Bacterial small subunit ribosomal RNA", at positions 524 to 777 of the family's 1533-position model. The record is from RNAcentral.